AUUCCUACGGGAGGCAGCAGGGGGAAUAUUGGACAAUGGGCCACAAGCCUGAUCCAGCAAUUCUGUGUGCACGAUGAAGGUCUUCGGAUUGUAAAGUGCUUUCAGUUGGGAAGAAGAAAGUGACGGUACCAACAGAAGAAGCGACGGCUAAAUACGUGCCAGCAGCCACGGUAAUAAU
Molecule: ribosomal RNA, 178 nt
Filed under: uncultured bacterium
Lineage: Bacteria
Description: partial 16S ribosomal RNA
Rfam family: Bacterial small subunit ribosomal RNA
Source: RNAcentral